This 258-nucleotide ribosomal RNA is filed under the name uncultured bacterium. RNAcentral describes it as "partial small subunit ribosomal RNA". It matches the Rfam family "Bacterial small subunit ribosomal RNA", at positions 26 to 288 of the family's 1533-position model. The record is from RNAcentral.
AGGACGAACGCUGGCGGCGUGCUUAACACAUGCAAGUCGAGCGGAAAGGCCCUUCGGGGUACUCGAGCGGCGAACGGGUGAGUAACACGUGAGCAACCUGCCCCUGGCUCUGGGAUAGCCUCCGGAAACGGGGAUUAAUACCGGACAUGACCCUUGACCGCAUGGUUGGGGGUGGAAAGUUUUUUCGGCCAGGGUGGGGCUCGCGGCCUAUCAGCUUGUUGGGGGGGUGACGGCCCACCAAGGCGACGACGGGUAGCC